This 30-nucleotide small RNA is filed under the name Bombyx mori (domestic silkworm). Its description in RNAcentral is "ovarian small RNA-15437". Lineage: Eukaryota; Metazoa; Arthropoda; Insecta; Lepidoptera; Bombycidae. The record is from RNAcentral.
GACCAGCCCAAGGAUCGGCCAGCUGCCGGA